UUUUUUUUUUUUUUUUUUUUGAGCCUCACAGUUUUAAAUAUUUGUAGUAAAGAAGGUUUUGCACAUUUGGAUCUCACUCACUGCCUAGCUUAUGGCUUUAGAACCAGAAAAAUAUGGGUUCAAAUCAUUAUUUCACCAUUUAGUACAUAAGUGACAUCAGAUGAGUUACUUAUCUGUUUUGGAAUAAAAUAUAUACUUGUGUUUAUCUCAGUGCCUGGAGCAUAGUAAAUGACAAAUUAUGACUACGAAAAUUUUUUCAGGGAAUUCUGCUCUGCUGUGGGUGUAGGGUAUAAAGAACUCUUAAGAACUAUCGAUGCCUUUUUGUAACCACUUUCAUUCAUAUGCCUUUAUACAAAUCUUAUUCUAGGACUAAUUAUUUUGAUUAUUUAUAGAAGCCUCUCUCUUGCAUAAAAGUCUAAGUUGGUGUCCAGAGAGGGAAAUGGUUCUGCUCUAAGAGACCAUGUAGGGGUGUAGAUGCCUUUGAUCCUAUUGUGCCUGGAGUAUCACCAUCAUCCAAACAAUGGAAGGAAUUUCCAUCUUCCAGUCUGUGUUCUAGCCUGCAGGGAUUGGGGAAGAGGGAAAAUAGCAACUCAGCUCUUUUUCUUAAUGUGUACUACCUGGAAAUUUCUCAUUUCACUUCUGCUUACAUCACAGCAGCCAGACUACGUAAGCAUGCUUAGCCAUAAAAGCAGCUAGAAAAUGAUGUCUAUAGCCACAAUAUGUCCAGGCAAAACUCAGCAAGUCAAAUUGUUAAAAUAAUUUGGAAGACAACUAUGAAUUUAUUUCAGAAGGUGCAUGUAUCAGUUAUCCAUUGCUGCAUAAAAACCAUGCCACCACCUUGUAGUCUAAAAUAAUAGCUAUUUAUUUACCUAGUGAUUCUAAGGAUUGAAAAUUAAGACUGGGCUCUGCUGGGUGGUUGUAAUGGUCUUGGUGGGGCUCACUCAUUUGGCAUAGAUUAGCUGCGAGAUUCAGUGGAGGACUUUCCUCUUGUCGUCCAGCAAGCUACAUGUGGCCUGUUUGCCUGGAGACUGUGCAAGGCGUUUUGAAAUGCAGGCACACAACUUGCACAGUGUCACUUCAGCUACACUCUUUUGGCUGAAGAAAGUCACAAGGCCACCAAUGAUUUAAAAGGUAUGGAGGAUAAUGUGAGAAAAAGAAUAUAUGUAUAUGUGUAUGGCUGGUCAUUUUGCUGUAGAGUAGAAAUUAACAGAACACUGUAAAUCAACUAUAAUGGAAAAAAUAAAAAUCAUAUAUAAAAAUAAAACAAUAUCGCAGUUAACAAUAUCACAGUUAAAAAAAAUAAAAGGUAGGGAAAAAAAUAAAAGGUAGGGAAACAUAAAAGGUAGGGAAGGAAGGGGAGAAUUUGAUGCCAUUUUUGUAAUCUAUCACAGAGGGAAAUCAGAGUUACUAUUCAGAAAUUUACUAUAGUAUAAACAUGAGAGAGCAUCCUUAUGAAAUACAUGAUGUCAAUUUGAGGCAUACCAGGCUGUUGAAGGGAGACAGAUACAAAAGUUAGGUCCCUGAGUCCUACAUGGUUAGGAACACAUGCACAAACUUGUAUGGUGUUGAAAUCACAUUCUACAGUGUAAACACCCAAGCCUGUGUUAGGGGGUAGCUGAUCUCUAUUUUGGUAGCUGUAACUCUCUAGUGAUCUAGGGGAGAGGAGAGAAAACACAUCAUCUGAGGAUAAAAUAAGUCAAGUAGACAUUAUAAUGCAGUGGAGAAAGAACUGGUCUAGGUACCAGAAGAACUGAGUUCUAGCUCAAGCUAGGACUCACAACGCCAGAGGUUUUCAUGAAUUUGUUCAUGAAUUUGAGUUCAUGUUUCUUUGUGUAAUUUUUAAAGGUUGGGCUAAAUUAAAUCUAAUAUUUCUUCCUGUUUUGACUGAUGUCUAUGAGUCACUAAGAAGGAUGAAAAGAGACUUGUUCUUUCAAGUGACUACAAGACGAUGAAUACAGGAAUAAAAGGGGAAAGUCAAAUGAUUCGGAUACUUAGUACCAAAUGUCAAGAUGUUUGGAAACAUCUAGAUACUUAUCUAAAUUCUGUAUGUAGCCAAUGUUGAAAAAUAUAUCUUUUCUCAAGCCAACUACAGACAUUUUCUUCUUCAGAAGAGACAAAUGUUAUUUUUUUUAAAUGUUGAUUUAAGAAUGGAAAAUAAUCCCAUAAGUUAUAAUUAAAAUGUGAACACAUCUAGAAAAGCAUGAUAUAAAAUUGUAAGUGACAGGUUUCACAAUAAAAACAAAUACUGAGUUCUCUGUGUGAUCUUCUUAUGUGUUCCUAUUUGCAAGGUAUAUAAACUUAGAUAAAACUGAUAUUUUUUUCCUCAUGCCAUGUGGCCCUAGGAAUCAAACACAUCUUCCAAACAGAUACUAGGAUGGAAAGUAAUUUUUUAAUUCAUCAGGAAGUGUUACAUAAUCCACAGAGAUGACAGCAACUCAACAGUAAUGCUGGGACUAAAACCAAACAUGGUUUCUAAACACAUAUUCAUAUCCACAUAACUAACUAUGAUUUGGACAAUGCUUCGAAACUAAAAACAAAAAACAACAAAAAAAAAACUUUAUAAAGUCUAAAAUCUGUAGAUUGACCAGCCCUGUGGUUAUCAAAGUGUGGUCACAGGACAAGGACCUGCGGCAUAAGCAUUGCCAAAGAAAUUGUCUGAAAUGGUAAUCCUCCAGGUGCACCUCAAACACACUGAAGCAGAGACUCUGAGAGGGUUCGGAUAGGUCAACAAGCCCCAUAGGUGACACUGAUUCACACCCAGAUUUCAGAACCACUGUUCCAGCCAACAUUACUUAUAAAAUAAAUAACCUAGGCACAGAACAAUGGCAGAGAGUUCCCAUUGCGGCUCAGAGGUUACGAACCUGAUUAGCAUCCAUGAGGAUGUGGGUUCAAUCCUUAGCCUUACUCAGUGGGUUAAGGAUCAGCAUUGCCAUGAGCUGUGGUGUAAGUCACAGACAUGGCUCAGAUCUCUCAUUGCUGUGGCUGGGGUAUAGGCUGGCCGCUGCAGCUCUGAUUCGACCCCUAGCCUGGGAACUUCCAUGUGCCACACAUGCGGCCCUAAAAAGCAAAAAUAAUAAUAAUCUAGGCAGGAAAUUUGGAGACAUCUGGAUAGAACAAAUCCAUUAUCCUUUUAUCUAAUUAUUACCCUUUUCUACUUCAAAUAGAUCAGCAAAACUGACCUCCAUUUUCUACACGAAUGAUAUCUCUGCUAACAAUUAAGUUUCUCUGGAAGAAUUCAGGUGGCUUUACUCCAUAAGGAGAAUGUGGGCAUAUGCUUUGUAUGUAAAAGGAACCCAAGAAAUAUGUGUUGAUUUCAUUUAUGAUAAUUUCACAUAAGAUAUAAGAUAUAAAAGGAAUUCCUUAAACAAUGCAUUAAGAAAACUUAAAUAGUUGCACAAUAAAGGGACCACAAAAAGAGCUACACUGUUUUCAAACUAGGGAGAAUCACAUGGUUUAACAACUUUUUUUAAAAGAAAGAAGUCACAGCCCACAGGUUCUGAGAGGUGAUUUUUCCGAAGUCAGACCAAUUUUUAGUGAUAAAAUCAGGACAGGAAUUUAGGUUUCUAAUUCAAAGUCUGGUAUGCUCUUCUUUAAAUUUCUCCCCUCCAGAUGAAUUAGAGAUCUAGGGAAGUAUUUUAUUGUUUAAUACCAUCUAUGACAAAAUAAUAACAUGAAAGUCAAGUAGAGAAAUAAACCUUUAUGUGCACAGAACAAUGGCAAAGGAAGUAAUUAGUCCAUGCAAUGUGGAAGAAACAAAAAUUUAGAUUCUCCACAAAAGACCUCACUUCAUUCCUUUUUUAAUGAUAUAUCAACUUUUUCAUUUUAAAUCUCAAAUAAGACAUGACACACUGGAACGCAGAGGCUUUAACUGGAAGCUUUUUUUUAUUUCUUAAAAAUCCUUUAAGCAUAAAGAAAUCAAAUUCCUUACCUAGGAAAACUCUUUUUAUAACAUCAAAAAGAGAUAAAUCCACAAAAGAGAGAAAAAAACUGUCGAAGGAGAUUGUCAUAGCAACCAGAUAAGAACAAAUUUGGCACAGAAAGCAACCUGAUUAUUUCUUUUUAAUCAAAAUUACAUAUCAUCAAGUUUGGAAGCAAAACAACUGGGAAAAUAGUAAAAGAAUUUCAAAGUAUAUAGCAUGCACAUUAACGUUUAUUAACUCUCUCAGCACCCAAAGUAAGUACAAGUGUAUUAGUCAAUCUGGGAAUAAUUUGUUUUUCAUGGGAUUUCUUGCCUCAUUUCUUCCCUCUACUCCAUAUAUUUAAGAAUCACCAAACGUUAAUUAUUCUUUUCCAGAAAUAUUUUUCAAAAUCAUAUGUUUAUGUUCCUUUGAAAACUCCAGGUUUCCUAUUGCCUCAAUAUUUUCAAUCUGAUUUUUUAUAAUAUCCAUUGUCCCUGGUUAGUGCCUUAUGGACUAUAAACACUGACACAGCUUUCACAAAUGUUCAUAUUUACUUGGUUUCUUGACAGUAGCAUGAUGUUUAUAAAUACAAAUUUGGCCUCCUACUCUUAGUGAGCUCUUUGUUAGGAGACAUGGAACAGAAAUUUGGAUGCUGUACACCAAGGUCAGGGCACCAUCUUUCCCUUUCCUCAGUUCCACAUAUCUGGAGGAGUGAGCUGAUGAAACAUAACUGCAGAGUAGGAGGACCCCAACCAAAGAGGCUCAGCAAAUUUCCAAGUGGCCAGGACAUGUUAACCAUAUUUCUUGGGAUGGUAGCUCACGGCUGCCCUCUUCAAUUCUGGUAAAUUGUGAAAGAUGUAGGUUAUCCUAAAGGCCCUGGAUAGAUGCUCAUGUAUUCUCUGAAAUAGAAUGCUCCUGCUGGAAAAAAAAAAAAAAAAAAAAAACAAACACCACACUGAUUUUUCUAACUAAAAACUAAAUGGAGCACCAAUGCACAGAAAUACUUGUGACAUUGCAAAAUGAAUUGCCAUGAAGACAAACCUUUGACCUCUGUCUUUACCCCCAUAUCCAUAGUCGGUUGUUCAAGCAAAGUGAGUCCAGUCUACCUCAUGCCUAAUUGAAAGCUGCUGCAACCAACGGGACGUGGUUACCUGAAGGCACGAGCAGGGAAUGCCAGAACCAGAACAAAAGAGAGCAUUCAUUAUCCUGUUCCUUAGUGCACAUCUACCUGUGCUUUGAAUGAGCAUGGAAAGGUUAUCCUCUGCAUAACAAACUUGUGACUGCACAGAGCCCAUCUAUCCCAUGGCUAAAUUAGUGAGUCCUACCUUCUGAAGUCCUAACUGCAAAUCUGCCUACUGUCCUUACUGGAAAGAAUAAAUAAAAAACUAAAUCAAAAUGAAUGUUGAUUGCAUAAAAAAAUAAAAAUAUCUUGUAGAUAUGCUAAAAUAGAGGAUCUUAGGUGAAAUUUUAUAGACAUGAGUCUGAGAU
RNAcentral lists this long non-coding RNA (5387 nucleotides) under Sus scrofa (pig). RNAcentral's name for it is "lncRNA (ENSSSCG00055011413.1)". The record is from RNAcentral. Lineage: Eukaryota; Metazoa; Chordata; Mammalia; Artiodactyla; Suidae.